This 468-nucleotide ribosomal RNA is filed under the name uncultured bacterium. Its description in RNAcentral is "partial 16S ribosomal RNA". It matches the Rfam family "Bacterial small subunit ribosomal RNA", at positions 28 to 507 of the family's 1533-position model. The record is from RNAcentral.
GACGAACGCUGGCGGCGUGCUUAACACAUGCAAGUCGAACGGACAGGUCCUGCUUUUGUGGGGUGCUCGAGUGGCGAACGGGUGAGUAACACGUGAGUAACCUGCCCUUGACUUUGGGAUAACUUCAGGAAACUGGGGCUAAUACCGGAUAGGAGCUCCUGCUGCAUGGUGGGGGUUGGAAAGUUUCGGCGGUUGGGGAUGGACUCGCGGCUUAUCAGCUUGUUGGUGGGGUAGUGGCUUACCAAGGCUUUGACGGGUAGCCGGCCUGAGAGGGUGACCGGCCACAUUGGGACUGAGAGACGGCCCAGACUCCUACGGGAGGCAGCAGUGGGGAAUAUUGCACAAUGGGCGGAAGCCUGAUGCAGCAACGCCGCGUGCGGGAUGACGGCCUUCGGGUUGUAAACCGCUUUCGCCUGUGACGAAGCGUGAGUGACGGUAAUGGGUAAAGAAGCACCGGCUAACUACGUG